RNAcentral lists this ribosomal RNA (506 nucleotides) under Leptopius clavus. RNAcentral's name for it is "partial 16S ribosomal RNA". It matches the Rfam family "Bacterial large subunit ribosomal RNA", at positions 1859 to 2622 of the family's 2925-position model. Lineage: Eukaryota; Metazoa; Arthropoda; Insecta; Coleoptera; Curculionidae. The record is from RNAcentral.
CUGCCCUAUGAGGAUUUAAAUGGCCGCGGUAUUUUGACCGUGCAAAGGUAGCAUAAUCAUUAGUUUUUUAAUUGAAAGCUGGAAUGAAAGGUUUAAUGAAAAAAUAUCUGUCUCUGUUUAAAUUAUUUAGAAUUUUAUUUUUAAGUUAAAAAGCUUAAAUACUAAUAGAAGACGAGAAGACCCCAUAGAGUUUUAUAUAUUUAAAUUAAAUGAUUUUUUAGUAUUUAAAAAUUUUUUAUUGUAAGAUAUAUUUAGUUGGGGUGAUUGAAAAAUUUGAUUAACUUUUUUUUUAUGUAACCAUUUAUAUAUGAUUAAUUGAUCCUUAGUUAAAGAUUAAAAGAAAAAAUUACCUUGGGGAUAACAGCGUAAUUUUUUUAGAGAGUUCAAAUUGAAAAAAAAGAUUGCGACCUCGAUGUUGGAUUAAAAUAAAAUUUUGGUGUAGGAGCUAAAGAUUUUAGGUCUGUUCGACCUUUAAAAUUUUACAUGAUCUGAGUUUAAACCGGUGU